AGCGAACGCUGGCGGCAGGCUUAACACAUGCAAGUCGAACGGGCAUCUUCGGAUGUCAGUGGCAGACGGGUGCGUAACACGUGGGAACGUACCCUUCGGUUCGGAAUAACUCAGGGAAACUUGAGCUAAUACCGGAUACGCCCUUUUGGGGAAAGGUUUACUGCCGAAGGAUCGGCCCGCGUCUGAUUAGCUUGUUGGUGGGGUAACGGCCUACCAAGGCGACGAUCAGUAGCUGGUCUGAGAGGAUGAUCAGCCACACUGGGACUGAGACACGGCCCAGACUCCUACGGGAGGCAGCAGUGGGGAAUAUUGGACAAUGGGCGCAAGCCUGAUCCAGCCAGGCCGCGUGAGUGAUGAAGGCCUUAGGGUUGUAAAGCUCUUUUGUCCGGGACGAUAAUGACGGUACCGGAAGAAUAAGCCCCGGCUAACUUCGU
This 434-nucleotide ribosomal RNA is filed under the name uncultured bacterium. RNAcentral describes it as "partial 16S ribosomal RNA". It matches the Rfam family "Bacterial small subunit ribosomal RNA", at positions 29 to 506 of the family's 1533-position model. The record is from RNAcentral.